AGCGAACGCUGGCGGCGUGCUUAACACAUGCAAGUCGAACGUGAAAUGUAGCAAUACAGAGUAAAGUGGCGUACGGGUGAGUAACACGUGGGUAAUCUACCAAAGAGCCUGGAAUAACCGACCGAAAGGUUGGCUAAUACUGGAUAGUUGAAAUGAAAUAUAAUGUUUCGAUUGGGAAAGGGAGCGAGCAAUCGCCUUCACUUUUUGAUGAGCCCGCGUCUGAUUAGCUAGUUGGUAGGGUAAUGGCCUACCAAGGCGACGAUCAGUAGCUGGUCUGAGAGGAUGAUCAGCCACACUGGAACUGAAACACGGUCCAGACUCCUACGGGAGGCAGCAGUGGGGAAUCUUGCGCAAUGGACGAAAGUCUGACGCAGCCACGCCGCGUGAGUGAAGAAGGCCUUCGGGUUGUAAAGCUCUGUCGGAAGGGACAAAAACGUUUAAGGUUAAUAGCCUUAGAUCUUGAUGGUACCUUCAAAGGAAGCACCGGCUAACUUCGUGCCAGCCGCCGCGGUAA
RNAcentral lists this ribosomal RNA (514 nucleotides) under uncultured bacterium. Its description in RNAcentral is "partial 16S ribosomal RNA". It matches the Rfam family "Bacterial small subunit ribosomal RNA", at positions 29 to 523 of the family's 1533-position model. The record is from RNAcentral.